CGCGGCCUAUCAGCUUGUUGGUGAGGUAGUGGCUUACCAAGGCGACGACGGGUAGCCUGCCUGAGAGGGUGACCGGCCACACUGGGACUGAGACACGGCCCAGACUCCUACGGGAGGCAGCAGUGGGGAAUAUUGCACAAUGGGCGCAAGCCUGAUGCAGCGACGCCGCGUGAGGGAUGAAGGCCUUCGGGUUGUAAACCUCUUUCGUCAGGGAAGAAGCGAAAGUGACGGUACCUGAAGAAGAAGCACCGGCUAACUACGUGCCAGCAGCCACGGUAAUACGUAGGGUGCGAGCGUUGUCCGGAAUUAUUGGGCGUAAAGAGCUUGUAGGCGGUUUGUCGCGUCUGCCGUGAAAACCUAGGGCUUAACUCUGGGCGUGCGGUGGGUACGGGCAGGCUAGAGUGUGGUAGGGGAGACUGGAAUUCCUGGUGUAGCGGUGAAAUGCGCAGAUAUCAGGAGGAACACCGAUGGCGAAGGCAGGUCUCUGGGCCAUAACUGACGCUGAGAAGCGAAAGCAUGGGGAGCGAACAGGAUUAGAUACCCUGGUAGUCCGUGCCGUAAACGUUGGGCGCUAGGUGUGGGGCUCAUUCCACGAGUUCUGUGCCGCAGCUAACGCAUUAAGCGCCCCGCCUGGGAGUACGG
RNAcentral lists this ribosomal RNA (642 nucleotides) under uncultured Piscicoccus sp. RNAcentral describes it as "bacterial SSU rRNA". It matches the Rfam family "Bacterial small subunit ribosomal RNA", at positions 232 to 885 of the family's 1533-position model. The record is from RNAcentral. Lineage: Bacteria; Bacillati; Actinomycetota; Actinomycetes; Micrococcales; Dermatophilaceae.